AAAGGCUAGCUAUAUCGCGCAAAUAAAAUAAAUUCAUUUGCCUUUUAAGAAGGAUUUUUGUACGAAAUAAUCAGUUUGCAACAUAGUAUAAUGGAAGACACUGAGACAAAUGACAAUGGAAUCACCAGAAAUGAUAAUAACCAACGGCUUUCUCAAAACGGCAGAGCCGUUAAACAUGAUAAAGGACGUUUUGGACCGAGUCAACUUGUAAUUGGCCAUGCUAGCGGCGGCUUCAUCAGACAGCAAUAUGGAAUCUGGACUGUAGUGCAAGGACAACGUGGCUUUUAUUGGUUCACCGAUAAAGGCAAUAUCAUAACACAUCCCUCUGAUGAAUGGGAAUAAAAUCGAGAGCAGGGAUAUAAAUCAUAUAGGAGUAGGGAGGAUGAACAUACAUGUAUUUAUGGGCGGACCAAGUCAUUACAAUGAAAAUGGAACAUAUACGUUUGUUUUCUUUUCUUUUUGGAAUUAUCAGUUCAUGACAAUCCGUUUAUUUGAUCAUAUAACAAACAUUGCACAUAUAUAUAAUAAUACAGUUUCGCAAUAGUGUUAAAUAGCAGAUUUUGAAAGGUUGUUUACACAAUAAAAGUUUAAUACAUGUGCUUUUGUAGAUUUUGAAAGGCUGCUUGCUUAAACAAUAAUAACUUGACUUACACACUGUUGUUAUUUGAUAAAUAUCAAAAUAAUUUAGACAUGAAACGUAUUGAUGUUUUUAUUUUUCGAAUGAAAUCUUCUGAAUUUGAAGAACUAUCUAAUCAUUAUAUAAAUUACGUAUAUAUAUAUAUAAUAUUUAUAUGUUUUGAUCUUCUUUCACUUAUACUUUAUAAACAAUCAACAAUGUGCCUUAAAUCAAAGUUUGCUAGUACACUGAUAUUCUUUUUGAUAAAUUAAUACUGAUCAUUGCAUAGAAUCAUUUGUUACUAAAUGUCUAACCAUCAUUUUUACUUUACACCUGACCUUUAGUGCCUUCAUCAAAAAUCUAUGAUUUUUUCAGUAACACUUGUAACCUAAUGAAUAUGCAGUAUGUCUACAAUUUGCCUUGCGUUGAUUGGACGUUUGGAUUUUAAAGCGACUGUCAUUAUUUUGAAGCUCAUGCGACUUCACAAUCAUGUAUUACAUCCUAAACUUAAUUAUAAGAUAUUUUUAAAAGUGUUUGAACGAAGUAAUGAUUAAUCAUGGUCCAUUCGACUUUAGUGAGCCUAUUUGAAACUAAUGUUAAUUCAAAAUUAUUUAAUGGAUAAAGGUAUACAUAUAGAUCUCGAGUUAUACAAGUGCUAAUUAAUGUAUAAUUAUAUAUAUAGCUUCACAUUAAAUGUGUAUACAAUACUAAUAAUGCGAAUAUGCGAAUAACUGCUUGUCUGUAAUUUUUAGUAACAGUAUUGUUCUUUUUUGUUUUGUUUUUAACUUACGUGCUUGUUCAUUGUUAAUCAUCUCUCUGAAUACCACUUUGUCAUAAUAUGCCCUGUGUAUAACAAUAUCAGAAAGGAGUUGAUCAAACCAUUCUAUAUUAGAAACCCAAGUAUUUACAUAGUGUUUGUACUAAUGCAAUCGCAAAAAAAAAACACAAGAAAUCUAAGUAAAUUUAUAAACCAAGCAUUUCUUCUAAGAAAUUCAAUGAUAAAUAAUAUGAUUAAGACCAUUAAGUAAUAUAUGAUGUUAACCUCCAAAAUCCAUAUUAUUCUGUUAUUUCAUAUAUGUACCAUUUACAUUUUGAUUUAAAUAUUUAACAUUUGUAUUUUGAAACCUUUUUCUUCUCUGUUAUGUAUGUAUUUGUCUUUAUAUAUUUUCCUUGUAAUAUGCCAUGUUUCAUUGUGACCAUAUAAAUUAUUUUCUAUCGCAUAUCAUGUUUGCUCAAGAAACUGUUAUUAACCUGUUUACGACAAUAACUAAUUCUGUCUGUCUCUCUCUGCAUCUUGAAGGAAAUAAAAAAUCUCUUUCUACAUUGUAUUUGUAAUUGUUCUCAACCUGGAGGUAUUUGUAAAAGAGAAGAAACAACGGAUACCAAUUUUUUUGAUAACACUAAAAUAGCACUUGCGUAAACAAACA
Molecule: long non-coding RNA, 2043 nt
Organism: Mya arenaria
Lineage: Eukaryota; Metazoa; Mollusca; Bivalvia; Myida; Myidae
Exons: 7
Source: RefSeq, a predicted model, not a curated record